RNAcentral lists this ribosomal RNA (253 nucleotides) under uncultured bacterium. RNAcentral's name for it is "partial 16S ribosomal RNA". It matches the Rfam family "Bacterial small subunit ribosomal RNA", at positions 524 to 776 of the family's 1533-position model. The record is from RNAcentral.
UACAGAGGUCUCAAGCGUUGUUCGGAAUCACUGGGCGUAAAGGGUGCGUAGGCUGCACGGUAAGUCAGAGGUGAAAUCCCGGAGCUCAACUCCGGAAUUGCCUCCGAUACUGCCGUGCUUGAGGACUGGAGAGGAGAUUGGAAUUCACAGUGGAGCAGUGAAAUGCGUAGAUAUUGUGAGGAACACUAGUGGCGAAGGCGAAUCUCUGGACAGUUCCUGACGCUGAGGCACGAAGGCCAGGGGAGCAAACGGG